UUUUUUUUUUUUUUUUUUUUUUUUGAACUGUCCUAUGGCUGUGCCCUCUGCUCCCAAACCUAGGGGCCCACAGUUUAGGCCCUAGGUCCCCAGCAGGUCAGUGACAAGAAAGUCACAGCCUCUGGAGGCCACUAAGGAGACCAUGCCAAGUCACUGCCUGUGCCCAGGGAGGCCCAGCAUGAGUGAGGGUAUGGACUGAAUGGGCAGCCUCCCAGCUGGAGGCCUGCUCGGACUCCAGUGAGCCAGGGGCUUCUGGAAGAGGCCACAGGCAACGGAUGGGGACCCUUUCCGGAACUGCUUUGUUUUGGGGACUCCUACAUUCUGUUUGAUGACCACUGGGGUUUUUUUGGGGGGGGGAGGUGUGUGGAGUUAGCCAAUAGGAUAGAGCCGGGGUACCGGUAGAGAGCAUGGGCAGAGGGUGGGAAGCAGCCUGUGUCAGAGGAAGCCAAACGAGCCAUCCAGGCCUUCAGAACCUCAGCUCCUGUAGAGUCGUGGGCACCACAGUAGGAAUGGGGACCUGACUUUCCCCCUGCCCACGGAGACUCUCUAAAGGAUCCUUUUCUGUACCCCCCAAUCCCUCUUCCAGGUCAGGGUUAGAGGCGGGUGGGUUAGCUCAUGCUGGCAAUACUUGAAACGGGUUUAUUAAUGCUGGGUAUUUUGCACAAUUUUAUAGACUUCUUUUUUACAUAGCCCUUUAAAAAUAGGAGUUAAUGUGUUACUGUCCGUGUAGUGCCAAGGCAAGGGUUUUCAGAAGGCUAGGUAGUUGAAUACACUUAUUAUAGCAGAUCUAGCUGUGAGGGACUGUGUGUAUGCUCACACAUGUGUCCAUGUAUGCCUGUGACAGAUACAGCUGACUCACGUGUCCCCUGGGCUGUUCCCUUUCCCCAUUGCCCUGAGUCCAGAAGCAGCCCACUGUAUGGGGGACUGGGUGGGAGGAUGGGCUUUAGUCCCAAGAUGGAGACCACUGGCUCCUGCCCUCCUGCCUUCCACCAAGGCCUUUAAGACUCUGCCACCCAGCCCUCAGGCCAGGCUCCCAGCUGUGACCUGCCCCAACAGGCUGAGGCUAGGUGUGGUGGGUGGGGUGAUGGCUCUGGGGAGCGGCUGCCCUGCAAGCCACACCCCCUCCUAGGUGUUCUGCUUUGAGUGUAGGCCUCAGUGCUAGGGAUUGAACCCCAGAGCAUUUCUGCUAAUCAGGAAUGAGAGAGGAAGGGACAGAGUGGACCAGAGGCAUGUGUGCUUGUCCAGAAGCCUGGAGGAUGGCCUUCUGCUGGCAGCUGUAGUUUCUAAUCGAAAUAGUCCUGUUCUCCUUGGCCCUUCGGGUGGGCUGAAGCCCUUGUGAGUCAUAACAUAGGAAGUCACUACAGAGUCCCUUCCUUGCUCCCAAGGCCAGUGGGUCCCUGGAAGAGCUGGGAAGUGGUGGGUGCCAGGGGGCCCCUGGGAGAUGGCUUCAGAGCCCUGGGCCAUCCUGAGUGGCCCUGGGAGGUAGAUAGGAAGGGGCUGGGAGGCUCCCUAGCUCACCUUUUAUUUGAGCCAGUAUUCCUUGCUCCUGCUUGUAAUAAAGCCUCUUGUUUUUAAGAGCUG
This 1581-nucleotide long non-coding RNA is filed under the name Rattus norvegicus (Norway rat). RNAcentral describes it as "long non-coding RNA NONRATT023686". Lineage: Eukaryota; Metazoa; Chordata; Mammalia; Rodentia; Muridae. The record is from RNAcentral.